UGGCCAAGUAAUAGUCGUCGUCGGCAUAGUCGUCGUUCCCCCAAAAAUGAAAGUGAUGAUGACUAUGCCGACGACAACUAUAGCUUGGCCAAAU
Molecule: microRNA precursor, 94 nt
Filed under: Corchorus capsularis
Lineage: Eukaryota; Viridiplantae; Streptophyta; Magnoliopsida; Malvales; Malvaceae
Description: pre miRNA mir-286
Rfam family: mir-286 microRNA precursor family
Source: RNAcentral